This 301-nucleotide ribosomal RNA is filed under the name uncultured bacterium. Its description in RNAcentral is "partial 16S ribosomal RNA". It matches the Rfam family "Bacterial small subunit ribosomal RNA", at positions 509 to 807 of the family's 1533-position model. The record is from RNAcentral.
CAGCAGCCGCGGUAAUACGUAGGGUGCAAGCGUUAAUCGGAAUUACUGGGCGUAAAGCGUGCGCAGGCGGUUAUAUAAGACAGAUGUGAAAUCCCCGGGCUCAACCUGGGAACUGCAUUAGUGACUGUAUAGCUAGAGUGCGGCAGAGGGGGAUGGAAUUCCGCGUGUAGCAGUGAAAUGCGUAGAUAUGCGGAGGAACACCGAUGGCGAAGGCAAUCCCCUGGGCCUGCACUGACGCUCAUGCACGAAAGCGUGGGGAGCAAACAGGAUUAGAUACCCCGGUAGUCCCUGUCUCUUAUAC